RNAcentral lists this long non-coding RNA (484 nucleotides) under Volvox carteri. Its description in RNAcentral is "long non-coding RNA (VCAR_LNC003414)". The record is from RNAcentral. Lineage: Eukaryota; Viridiplantae; Chlorophyta; Chlorophyceae; Chlamydomonadales; Volvocaceae.
CCCAAGGCCGCACGUCCAACUAAAACUUGCCGUACGUAUGUAGUAAAAUGACAAAAAAUGGCUACCGUAGGUGAUUUGCAAAUGAAAAUGCAGUACAGGACUUCGCCGAAGACGCUCGUUCCAGCAGGGUUGCAGGAUAAAAAAAGCCUAAGUCUGUGGCACAGCAACCGUGGUGUUGUGCGGAUACCAAUUACCAAAACAUAGGUCGAUUAUAGAGGUUUGCGCAUGUAUGCACGUGAUGAGACAGCCACGACACGCAUAUGUUUGCCGAGCCCAGCAUUUGGACAAGAUUGCACGAUGCAUGGGUGGGAGUUUAAGCAUGUCCCAAGAACUAGAAGAAAGUCUGUCCCCGUCACCUCCUGUCACAAACACUGUCCCCGUGCCAGCUUUGUCGGAGCAGCCACGGCGUUUUUAAUUAGCCCCUUUGAUUAGCAACACCUAAAGCGUCCCUGCUCGGUUCUGAUUCUGGCGUUGACGCCUCGAC